UCCAGGGAACAAAACUGCUUGUCAGUCCAAAGCCUGAACACCGAUACUGGGGGUCAGCUCAGGGAUAACACUCAUGUGUGACUCAAGUGGUUUCUACAAGGCAAGAGAGCGUCCGUGUGAGGCUCAGCUACUGCCACCCUGCUUCCUCCAGGUAUCAGCUGUGAUCAAGAGGAGCUGGUUUCUGUGGAGGGGGACGCCCUGUGUGAGAUCCCCUGCCAGUCUUGAUGGUAAACGGACAAGAACAGCGGCCAGAGUCUUAAAAGGAUGUGUAAAUGAAGGGUACAGAUUUCUCAAGGAUGAAGGUUUGGGGUACCCCAACAGAUCUCACCCAGGAUACCACAUUACAUUUGGUUGUCACGUCUCCUUAGGAUUCUCCAGACUGUGAAAUUUCCUCUGACUUUCCUUCCUUUUGAUGACCCCAGCAGUUUUGAGGAGUACUGGUCAGAUAAUACUUUGCAGAAUGCCCUUCUCUUGGAAUUUGUCUGGUGUUUUUCUCAUAGUUGGACUACCAUGAGUUCUUGGGAGGUCAAGUGCCAUUUUCAUCUCAUUAUAGUAACAUGGCUUAUGUCUAAUUGAUGUUGACCUUGAUCACCUGGCUGAGGUAGUGUUUGUCAGGUUUCUCCUUUAUUUUUCCCUUUCAUGCUCUACUCUCAGAAGGAAGUCACCAUGUGCAGCGCAUACAUAAGAAGUGAAGCAUUAUGCUCUCCCAUCUGAAGGCAGAGCAUCUACAUAAAUUUUUGGAAUUCUCCUGCGUGGGAGACUCAUCUCUCCUCUGACAUUUAUUUACAUCAAUACAGACUCUUGGGUAUUUCUUUUAUACUCUGGGUUAUAAUUCAGUCUACCUUAUUUAUUUUGCUACUCACAUUGGCACUGGGGCUCUUUGGGUAUUAGGUGCUCCUCCAUUUGCUUCCUGUGCCCCUUUGGCACACUAGUUUGGAUUGGUGUUUGUGUCUCACCCUUGCCCCUCCACAUUCAUAUGUCGAAGCCCUAAUUCCAAACAUGUUGGUACUUAGAGGUGGGCAUUUGGGUGGUAAUUAUGGUUAGAUGAGUUCAUGAGGACCCUCUUAUAUUGGGAUUAGUGCCUUUAUAAGAAGAGACACUGGAGAGCCUGUUUCUCUCUCUCCAGGAAUCCACACAAAGAUCACGUGAUCACACAGUGAAAUGGUGGCUGCCUACAUACCAAGA
This is a long non-coding RNA of Hippopotamus amphibius kiboko, 1185 nucleotides long. RefSeq lists it as uncharacterized. NCBI's taxonomy places the organism in Eukaryota, Metazoa, Chordata, Mammalia, Artiodactyla, Hippopotamidae. The record is from RefSeq and is a predicted model, not a curated record. The transcript has 3 exons.